RNAcentral lists this ribosomal RNA (439 nucleotides) under uncultured bacterium. RNAcentral describes it as "partial 16S ribosomal RNA". It matches the Rfam family "Bacterial small subunit ribosomal RNA", at positions 339 to 795 of the family's 1533-position model. The record is from RNAcentral.
CUACGGGAGGCUCCAGUGGGGAAUAUUGCACAAUGGACGAAAGUCUGAUGCAGCAACGCCGCGUGGAGGAUGACACAUUUCGGUGCGUAAACUCCUUUUAUAUAAGAAGAUAAUGACGGUAUUAUAUGAAUAAGCACCGGCUAACUCCGUGCCAGCAGCCGCGGUAAUACGGAGGGUGCAAGCGUUACUCGGAAUCACUGGGCGUAAAGAGCGUGUAGGCGGAUAGAUAAGUUGGAAGUGAAAUCCUAUGGCUCAACCAUAGAACUGCUUCCAAAACUGUCUAUCUAGAAUAUGGGAGAGGUAGAUGGAAUUUCUGGUGUAGGGGUAAAAUCCGUAGAGAUCAGAAGGAAUACCGAUUGCGAAGGCGAUCUACUGGAACAUUAUUGACGCUGAGACGCGAAAGCGUGGGGAGCAAACAGGAUUAGAUAACCGUGUAGUC